Molecule: ribosomal RNA, 305 nt
Filed under: uncultured bacterium
Lineage: Bacteria
Description: bacterial SSU rRNA
Rfam family: Bacterial small subunit ribosomal RNA
Source: RNAcentral
UGUGUCCUACGGGGGGCAGCAGUAGGGAAUUUUCGUCAAUGGGCGCAAGCCUGAACGAGCAAUGCCGCGUGAACGAGGAAGGUCUUCGGAUCGUAAAGUUCUGUUGAAGGGGAAAAAGAGCGGAGAGAGGAAAUGGUCUCCGAUUGAUAUUACCCUUCGAGGAAGUCACGGCUAACUACGUGCCAGCAGCCGCGGUAAUACGUAGGUGUCGAGCGUUAUCCGGAUUUAUUGGGUUUAAAGGGUGCGUAGGCGGUCCGUUAAGUCAGCGGUAAAAUUGCGGGGCUCAACCCCGUCGAGCCGUUGAA